UACGGGGGGGGUAAGCGUUGUUCGGAAUUACUGGGCGUAAAGGGCUCGUAGGCGGCCAACUAAGUCAGACGUGAAAUCCCUCAGCUUAACUGGGGAACUGCGUCUGAUACUGGAUGGCUUGGAUUCGGGAGAGGGAUGCGGAAUUCCAGGUGUAGCGGUGAAAUGCGUAGAUAUCUGGAGGAAUACCGGUGGCGAAGGCGGCAUCCUGGACCGGCAUUGACGCUGAGGCGCGAAAGCUAGGGGAGCAAACGGG
This 253-nucleotide ribosomal RNA is filed under the name uncultured bacterium. RNAcentral's name for it is "partial 16S ribosomal RNA". It matches the Rfam family "Bacterial small subunit ribosomal RNA", at positions 524 to 776 of the family's 1533-position model. The record is from RNAcentral.